RNAcentral lists this ribosomal RNA (557 nucleotides) under uncultured bacterium. RNAcentral describes it as "partial 16S ribosomal RNA". It matches the Rfam family "Bacterial small subunit ribosomal RNA", at positions 355 to 907 of the family's 1533-position model. The record is from RNAcentral.
UGGGGAAUUUUGGACAAUGGGCGAAAGCCUGAUCCAGCAAUGCCGCGUGUGUGAAGAAGGCCUUCGGGUUGUAAAGCACUUUUGUCCGGAAAGAAAUCCUUGGCUCUAAUACAGUCGGGGGAUGACGGUACCGGAAGAAUAAGCACUGGCUAACUACGUGCCAGCAGCCGCGGUAAUACGUAGGGUGCAAGCGUUAAUCGGAAUUACUGGGCGUAAAGCGUGCGCAGGCGGUUUGCUAAGACCGAUGUGAAAUCCCCGGGCUCAACCUGGGAACUGCAUUGGUGACUGGCAGGCUAGAGUAUGGCAGAGGGGGGUAGAAUUCCACGUGUAGCAGUGAAAUGCGUAGAGAUGUGGAGGAAUCNAUGGCGAAGGCAGCCCCCUGGGCAAUACUGACGCUCAUGCACGAAAGCGUGGGGAGCAAACAGGAUUAGAUACCCUGGUAGUCCACGCCCUAAACGAUGUCAACUAGUUGUUGGGGAUUCAUUUCCUUAGUAACGUAGCUAACGCGUGAAGUUGACCGCCUGGGGAGUACGGUCGCAAGAUUAAAAGCUUAAAGU